Molecule: ribosomal RNA, 466 nt
Filed under: uncultured bacterium
Lineage: Bacteria
Description: partial 16S ribosomal RNA
Rfam family: Bacterial small subunit ribosomal RNA
Source: RNAcentral
GAUGAACGCUGGCGGCGUGCUUAACACAUGCAAGUCGAACGAUGAAGCCCAGCUUGCUGGGUGUGUUCGUGUCGAACGGGUGAGUAACACGUGAGUAACCUGCCCUUAACUCUUGGGUAAGCCUUGAAAACUGGGUCUAAUACCGGGUAGGAGAGUCCACCACACAGUGUGGGUUGUGGAGAUUUGUCGGUUUUGGAUGGACUCGCGGCCUAUCAGCUUGUUGGUGUGGUAAUGGCUCACCAAGGCGACGACGGGUAGCCGGCCUGAGAGGGUGACCGGCCACACUGGGACUGAGAUACGGCCCAGACUCCUACGGGGGGCAGCAGUGGGGAAUAUUGCACAAUGGGCGGAAGCCUGAUGCAGCGACGCCGCGUGAGGGAUGACGGCCUUCGGGUUGUAAACCUCUUUCAGUAGGGAAGAAGCGAAAGUGACGGUACCGGCAGAAGAAGCACCGGCUAACUACGUG